RNAcentral lists this long non-coding RNA (211 nucleotides) under Phoenix dactylifera (date palm). RNAcentral describes it as "long non-coding RNA (PDAC_LNC021189)". Lineage: Eukaryota; Viridiplantae; Streptophyta; Magnoliopsida; Arecales; Arecaceae. The record is from RNAcentral.
UCUUAUAACUCCCUAAACGGAAACUUAACAACUUUAACUUAGACUGCAUAUUAACCUAGAAUUUGGGCUGAUUUAGUAAAUAAAACCGUGUGUGCUUUGAAAUUCUUAUCAUUUAUGUAUCUUAAAUUAGAUUUAAAAAAAAAAAGAAGUUUUCGAAAUUCUUAGCUAGUAUGCAUUUGAAAUUUGAUUUUCACUUCAUAGAUCAAUCGAA